GAACAGGUGUAACAGACGACACAGGUACUGAACAGGUGUAACAGACGACACAGGUACUGAACAGGUGUAACAGACGACACAGGUACUGAACAGGUGUAACAGACGACACAGGUACUGAACAGGUGUAACAGACAACACAGGUACUGAACAGGUGUAACAGACGACACAGGUAC
Long non-coding RNA from Oncorhynchus tshawytscha (Chinook salmon), 173 nucleotides. RefSeq lists it as uncharacterized. Lineage: Eukaryota; Metazoa; Chordata; Actinopteri; Salmoniformes; Salmonidae. The record is from RefSeq and is a predicted model, not a curated record. The transcript is spliced from 3 exons.